GCUGGCGGCAGGCCUAACACAUGCAAGUCGAGCGCGUGUAGCAAUACACGAGCGGCAGACGGGAGAGUAACACGUGGGAACGUACCCUUCGGUUCGGAAUAACCCAGGGAAACUUGGACUAAUACCGGAUACGUCCGAAAGGAGAAAAAUUUAUCGCCGAAGGAUCGGCCCGCGGCUGAUUAGCUAGUUGGUGAGGUAACGGCUCACCAAGGCGACGAUCGGUAGCUGGUCUGAGAGGAUGAUCAGCCUCACUGGGACUGAGACACGGCCCAGACUCCUACGGGAGGCAGCAGUGGGGAAUAUUGGACAAUGGGCGCAAGCCUGAUCCAGCCAUGCCGCGUGGGUGAUGAAGGCCCUAGGGUUGUAAAGCCCUUUCGGCGGGGAAGAUAAUGACGGUACCCGCAGAAGAAGCCCCGGCUAACUUCGUGCCAGCAGCCGCGGUAAUACGAAGGGGGCUAGCGUUGCUCGGAAUCACUGGGCGUAAAGCGCACGUAGGCGGAUCGUUAAGUCGGAGGUGAAAUCCUGGAGCUCAACUCCAGAACUGCCUUCGAUACUAGCGAUCUUGGAGUCCGGGAGAGG
RNAcentral lists this ribosomal RNA (579 nucleotides) under uncultured soil bacterium. RNAcentral's name for it is "bacterial SSU rRNA". It matches the Rfam family "Bacterial small subunit ribosomal RNA", at positions 35 to 657 of the family's 1533-position model. The record is from RNAcentral.